UGGGUGAUCUGCCCUGCACUUUGGGAUAAGCCUGGGAAACUGGGUCUAAUACCGAAUACACCCUGCUGGUCGCAUGGCCUGGUGGGGGAAAGUCUUUGACGGUGUGGGAUGGGCCCGCGGCCUAUCAGCUUGUUGGUGGGGUGAUGGCCUACCAAGGCGACGACGGGUAGCCGGCCUGAGAGGGUGUCCGGCCACACUGGGACUGAGAUACGGCCCAGACUCCUACGGGAGCA
Molecule: ribosomal RNA, 233 nt
Filed under: uncultured bacterium
Lineage: Bacteria
Description: partial 16S ribosomal RNA
Rfam family: Bacterial small subunit ribosomal RNA
Source: RNAcentral